Molecule: non-coding RNA, 46 nt
Filed under: Trichobilharzia regenti
Lineage: Eukaryota; Metazoa; Platyhelminthes; Trematoda; Strigeidida; Schistosomatidae
Source: RNAcentral
UUACUGCUGAAGAGUCCCAAACUAGGACGAAAUAGCUGUCCAGUAC